This 553-nucleotide ribosomal RNA is filed under the name Bifidobacterium longum subsp. infantis. RNAcentral's name for it is "bacterial SSU rRNA". It matches the Rfam family "Bacterial small subunit ribosomal RNA", at positions 8 to 573 of the family's 1533-position model. The record is from RNAcentral. Lineage: Bacteria; Bacillati; Actinomycetota; Actinomycetes; Bifidobacteriales; Bifidobacteriaceae.
AGAGUUUGAUCAUGGCUCAGGAUGAACGCUGGCGGCGUGCUUAACACAUGCAAGUCGAACGGGAUCCAUCAAGCUUGCUUGGUGGUGAGAGUGGCGAACGGGUGAGUAAUGCGUGACCGACCUGCCCCAUACACCGGAAUAGCUCCUGGAAACGGGUGGUAAUGCCGGAUGCUCCAGUUGAUCGCAUGUCUUCUGGGAAAGCUUUCGCGGUAUGGGAUGGGGUCGCGUCCUAUCAGCUUGACGGCGGGGUAACGGCCCACCGUGGCUUCGACGGGUAGCCGGCCUGAGAGGGCGACCGGCCACAUUGGGACUGAGAUACGGCCCAGACUCCUACGGGAGGCAGCAGUGGGGAAUAUUGCACAAUGGGCGCAAGCCUGAUGCAGCGACGCCGCGUGAGGGAUGGAGGCCUUCGGGUUGUAAACCUCUUUUAUCGGGGAGCAAGCGAGAGUGAGUUUACCCGUUGAAUAAGCACCGGCUAACUACGUGCCAGCAGCCGCGGUAAUACGUAGGGUGCAAGCGUUAUCCGGAAUUAUUGGGCCGUAAAAGGCUCGUA